Non-coding RNA from Mycena latifolia, 95 nucleotides. NCBI's taxonomy places the organism in Eukaryota, Fungi, Basidiomycota, Agaricomycetes, Agaricales, Mycenaceae. The record is from the annotation of a GenBank genome assembly.
GGCCUGAUAGCACAACUGGAUAGUGUAUCUGCUACAUGUUCCCGAUCUUGCAACAAAUUUAACAGAAGAUCCUCGUUCGAUUUGGGGUUAGGCUA